This 374-nucleotide ribosomal RNA is filed under the name uncultured organism. RNAcentral's name for it is "bacterial SSU rRNA". It matches the Rfam family "Bacterial small subunit ribosomal RNA", at positions 526 to 896 of the family's 1533-position model. The record is from RNAcentral.
CGGGGGGAGCAAGCGUUGUUCGGAUUUACUGGGCGUAAAGGGCGCGUAGGCGGCCUCUGCAAGUCGACUGUGAAAUCUCCGGGCUUAACCCGGAACGGUCAGCCGAUACUGCAGGGCUAGAGUGCAGAAGGGGCAACUGGAAUUCUCGGUGUAGCGGUGAAAUGCGUAGAUAUCGAGAGGAACACCUGCGGCGAAGGCGGGUUGCUGGGCUGACACUGACGCUGAGGCGCGAAAGCUAGGGGAGCGAACGGGAUUAGAUACCCCGGUAGUCCUAGCCUUAAACGAUGAAUGCUUGGUGUCUGGGGUUUUAUAGUCCCCGGGUGCCGUCGCUAACGCUUUAAGCAUUCCGCCUGGGGAGUACGGUCGCAAGACUG